RNAcentral lists this long non-coding RNA (227 nucleotides) under Lathyrus oleraceus (garden pea). RNAcentral describes it as "Pisum sativum (pea) long non-coding RNA (PSAT_LNC013909)". Lineage: Eukaryota; Viridiplantae; Streptophyta; Magnoliopsida; Fabales; Fabaceae. The record is from RNAcentral.
UAAGAUGGAAAAGAAAUAAAUAAGAGGACACUACCUCUCUAACCCACUACCACUCCCUACACGUUUUCUCUUCUCACACUGAUUACACAAAUCACUCAUUCCCACCUUCACUCUCUCUCAUAACAAACCACUCAUUUCCAUUACUAAGCAAAACAAAUAGAAAAAUAGAAAAAGUAAAGAUGAACCACUGUUCAUCUUCCUAAUCUCCACUGAAACCCCAAAACAAC